CUUUUUCACUCUUUUUGUUCUCUUUGUCCCUCUUUCUUUCACACACUUUACUUUCUCAGACACACACACAGCUCACUAUGUGGACAAAGCCUUCAUUCAGUGGAGGUUUUGGUCAAGCGGCUCGGCCUGCUGGUCCGUUUUCUCACCGUUUCUCAAGGUUGACAAGUCAGUCAAACCCAUUUUUGGACACGGAAAGGCCAAAACAACCUCGCGGGUAAAGACGGCUAAGAAAUAAAACAUUCAGAUUUAGAUUUGUUGACUGGCUGGUUGCAUUUCCUGCCUGUGUGAGUCUCUGUGACGAAAGUUGGGAGAACAAUACAGGACGUUUACUGCCAGACUGUGAUGCAAUCUAUGUGUAAGUAUGUGUGUGCGCAUACAGCCUCUUAAUAUGAUGCAACGGUGAAUUGAAUGCGUACGUAACUGUGUGUCUAUAGGCUGUGUCUGUGUAUACAUACAGCUUGUGUGUGUGUGUGU
Long non-coding RNA from Micropterus salmoides (largemouth bass), 474 nucleotides. RefSeq lists it as uncharacterized. NCBI's taxonomy places the organism in Eukaryota, Metazoa, Chordata, Actinopteri, Centrarchiformes, Centrarchidae. The record is from RefSeq and is a predicted model, not a curated record. The transcript has 3 exons.